RNAcentral lists this transfer RNA (73 nucleotides) under Leptospiraceae bacterium. RNAcentral's name for it is "tRNA-Thr". It matches the Rfam family "tRNA". Rfam says of the family: Transfer RNA (tRNA) molecules are approximately 80 nucleotides in length. The record is from RNAcentral. Lineage: Bacteria; Pseudomonadati; Spirochaetota; Leptospiria; Leptospirales; Leptospiraceae.
GCCCGCUUAGCUCAGUUGGUAGAGCGUUUCCCUCGUAACGAAAAGGUCGCCAGUUCGAUUCUGGCAGUGGGCU